Molecule: ribosomal RNA, 1379 nt
Filed under: Salmonella enterica subsp. enterica serovar Typhimurium
Lineage: Bacteria; Pseudomonadati; Pseudomonadota; Gammaproteobacteria; Enterobacterales; Enterobacteriaceae
Description: partial 23S ribosomal RNA
Rfam family: Bacterial large subunit ribosomal RNA
Source: RNAcentral
AGCAUGUGUGUUAGUGGAAGCGUCUGGAAAGGUGCGCGAUACAGGGUGACAGCCCCGUACACAAAAGCGCAUGUGCUGUGAGCUCGAUGAGUAGGGCGGGACACGUGGUAUCCUGUCUGAAUAUGGGGGGACCAUCCUCCAAGGCUAAAUACUCCUGACUGACCGAUAGUGAACCAGUACCGUGAGGGAAAGGCGAAAAGAACCCCGGCGAGGGGAGUGAAAAAGAACCUGAAACCGUGUACGUACAAGCAGUGGGAGCACAGGUUUACCUGUGUGACUGCGUACCUUUUGUAUAAUGGGUCAGCGACUUAUAUUCUGUAGCAAGGUUAACCGUAUAGGGGAGCCGGAGGGAAACCGAGUCUUAAUUGGGCGUUAAGUUGCAGGGUAUAGACCCGAAACCCGGUGAUCUAGCCAUGGGCAGGUUGAAGGUUGGGUAACACUAACUGGAGGACCGAACCGACUAAUGUUGAAAAAUUAGCGGAUGACCUGUGGCUGGGGGUGAAAGGCCAAUCAAACCGGGAGAUAGCUGGUUCUCCCCGAAAGCUAUUUAGGUAGCGCCUCGUGAAUUCAUCUCCGGGGGUAGAGCACUGUUUCGGCUAGGGGGCCAUCCCGGCUUACCAACCCGAUGCAAACUGCGAAUACCGGAGAAUGUUAUCACGGGAGACACACGGCGGGUGCUAACGUCCGUCGUGAAGAGGGAAACAACCCAGACCGCCAGCUAAGGUCCCAAAGUCAUGGUUAAGUGGGAAACGAUGUGGGAAGGCCCAGACAGCCAGGAUGUUGGCUUAGAAGCAGCCAUCAUUUAAAGAAAGCGUAAUAGCUCACUGGUCGAGUCGGCCUGCGCGGAAGAUGUAACGGGGCUAAACCAUGCACCGAAGCUGCGGCAGCGAACGUAUCACCCAAGACAACUUUACGGAGUUGACGAUUGACGGAGCGAAGCGACGUCAAAGCGUUCAUUAAAGUCGAGUUGGCUUAGGGAUACGUUCGUUGGGUAGGGGAGCGUUCUGUAAGCCUGUGAAGGUGUGUCGUGAGGCAUGCUGGAGGUAUCAGAAGUGCGAAUGCUGACAUAAGUAACGAUAAAGCGGGUGAAAAGCCCGCUCGCCGGAAGACCAAGGGUUCCUGUCCAACGUUAAUCGGGGCAGGGUGAGUCGACCCCUAAGGCGAGGCCGAAAGGCGUAGUCGAUGGGAAACGGGUUAAUAUUCCCGUACUUGGUGUUACUGCGAAGGGGGGACGGAGAAGGCUAUGUUGGCCGGGCGACGGUUGUCCCGGUUUAAGCGUGUAGGUGUGUGUUCCAGGUAAAUCCGGUUCACUUUAACACUGAGGCGUGACGACGAGGCACUACGGUGCUGAAGCAACAAAUGCCCUGCUUCCAGGAAAA